GUGACCGUAGCUCAGUUGGUAGAGCCCCGGAUUGUGAUUCCGGUUGUCGUGGGUUCGAUUCCCAUCGGUCACCCCA
The sequence is a transfer RNA, 76 nucleotides long. It matches the Rfam family "tRNA". Rfam says of the family: Transfer RNA (tRNA) molecules are approximately 80 nucleotides in length. Their secondary structure includes four short double-helical elements and three loops (D, anti-codon, and T loops).